CGCAGCACCUGCCAGGCCCUGACGCGAGGACGCGGCCCCCAGACCCCACGCGCGGCGAGACUGGUGAGGGCGCCUCGCCUGAGCCCCGGGCCGGUGGAGGCCGUCCCUGGCUCCCGUGCGGGGGCCGUAGAGGGUUCCCGCAGAGGAUGCUGCUUCCGCGGCCAGGGAGAUAGAUGAUACUGAGGCGAUGUCGCCUUCCUUUGCAACCUGGGUGUCGGGGCACAAGGAGGCGCGACCUGCCCAGGCGCAGGGCACUGGCCAAAGAGGCAGCGCUGCCGACCUGGAGACCGCUUACAACAACGCGCUUUCAAGCUGGAAUGUGUGUGUGCGAGACGAAACGGUUGCGAGAAAAUAGGGAAGAAACAGUGCUCAACUGCCACCUCUGCCAGCAAAGAGAGGCUCUCACUGAAGCUCCCAGGAUUGAGGAGUACCCCUAAUAGAAUCGUCCCCUGCCAGGAGAUGGAAAAGGUUUAUUUUGAGCACAACAUUCUCACAUGUGUGUCCCCACAUAUCCGGGACCCAGGCUGGGUGUCAGUUUCUUGCUCAGAGAACCUGUGAUUGAGAUUCUCUGGGGGAAAUGUUCCAAAAGAAUCAAUUAACGACGCCAGCAUCAAGUUCAAUACCACUGUACUGAAACCCACCUCUGUAUCUGUGCAUGGAUGAAUUACUGCUGCUCAUGUAAUUGGCAAAUAAUCAUCAUUAUAAUGCAGUGAAAAAUUUCUCCUGCCCUUUUAGACUGAGUAGCACCUCAGCAGAGAGCUGCAGGAAGCCCCACCACACCCUCCAAAAUAUCUAUUUAGGGACCUAUGUGAAGUUUUACCUCCAGGUCUUUUAAUAUGGAAGUAUCUGUGUGGACACAAGGUCACCUCUUACACUCAUUAAACCGAUUGAAUGAGGUCUGAUAACUCUUAAGGGAAAUCAGCGCUGAAAAUGCUUUUGACUUUUUGGAGACAUGGAUGGAAUAUUUUAUCAGAUUUUACUCAGCAUGCAACAGUUCUGCAAACUCCAGAAAGGGCAUCUCUCAGUCCCCUCCUUCCCUUCCCCUCUUAUUCUUUUCCAAACAUCCUGGGGAUUUAGUGGAUGUGGAUAUAAUACGAGAGGUGGAAAGAGGAAGAGCAUCACAGAAAAAGAAAUAUGUCUCUUCUGACCACAUCUGAUUUGAUUUGAUUUUCUUCUUACCUCUGGCAUCCAGUGGGAUUGAAACAAACUCAUAAACACUACCCUCUUUGUUCUAAAUGACUUGAAUAAGGUCAUCCAAUGGCAGGGUUGACUCCAUCAGAUAGUCUUAUAAUUAGUUGUUUUUAUUUUAUUUUUUUUAUACAUAGGUGCCUGAAUAGAUUUUCAGUUAUAAAGCCCCAUAACAACAGAGUUGCGACUUUAUUGAGCUUACAGUUUGAAUGACUAUUAUUUUGUUUUGUCCCAUGUCCCAUCCCCAUUUUUUAAGCAUAGCUUCAAAUUUGCUUUAAUCAAGUUGCUAAAGAAGUAGUUUUAUAAAAAAUUGUGUCACGAAUAACCUUGUGUUGAGAUUUGAAAUGGAGUACAAUAAAAUAGAACUCAGGUAAGGACUUUGAGACCAGCCUUCCAAAGUUCCCUCCUAUGCAAUUGUUUUAGGUGACUGAUUGAAAUUUGAGCUUCAAACUAAGGACAUCAGAAUAAUAAUGGCCACAUAGUGGGAUAAUGAUAAUUAGCACACAAAAGCACAGUUAAUUGCCAUGAAGGUUGUGACACAGACUGACAGAUAGAGUCAAAGUAAAUUGGAAACCUGAAGCCCCAGCCAAGAUUCCUUUAUCAACAAGACUAAGAGACUCCCACUGAAUUUAAGCAUAAUAAGGUGGAAUUAGGACUCAGUCAGCUUUUCUCUCAUCCACACGUUUUCCAGAUUUUAUUGGAUUCUUUAUACAAGACCUGAAAGUAAUAGUUCCAAAGGUCUUUACUUUGCAAAAGCAUUUAUGGUUGAUUUUUAUUGUUCUCACUAGUUAGGUUCCAUAAAGUCACUGCAAACACAGAAUUGCUCCUAGGAAAAACAGAGGGUUAGGUUCCUCAGAGCCUCUGGCUGACAAGAUUUUUUUUAAACCAAGAAAGACACCUGCUUUAAAUACAUAGGGUUGAUUGAUUAACAUUGUACUCACAGUUUGUGGCACUGUAACCCUUGCCUGAACAAAACUUACCUAACAUGUGCGUGUUCUCUGUAAGGCACAUUGAAGCUUUUCUGUGCUUAGGAACCCUAGACAGCACUAUGCUUGAGGCCAUUUUAAACAGCAAAAUCACCAAUAAACAAAAAACCCCAUAAAAAUUGGAAAACCGUGGCACUAGAUAUACUGCUAUAAAGGGAGACUUCUUAACAGUGUGAGAGCUGAACAAGAAGGCAGGGCAUCACCUUGUUUGAGCUCAGCUGGGAGCGUGGGCAUUCAGCAACUCAAAUUUUUAAUUGCUCUCUGUGUGUCUACAAGUGUCUACUCAAGAGCCUUAAGCAUCGACUUUGGGGUUACAAAUAAAUUUGCGCAAAUGGGCAAAUUCACAAAAUACGGAUCUACAAAGAAUGAGGAUCAGCUGUACCAAAUGUUGCCUUUAAAUGGCUAGCCACCUCAGCCCAUAUCUUACCAGAUGCCAUUUACAGAUACUCAAUUUACACACAAUCAUUUUAGGAAUACAUUAUCAUAAGAAGAAAAGAUAUCUUUUAUGCCGUUUGUCUUCUGCCACCUUCCUCAAAUAAAUUAUAUACUACAAUCACGUGGGGUUUUGUUUGUUUGUUUAUUGCAGAUCUCAAGUGGUUUGUGUCUAUUUCCAAAGUGGAUUUUGUUGUUGCUUUUCAGCUUUGUAAUUCAUGAGUUUUUUUGCGAAGAAGGACGGUUCCAAGAACUACACGAAAGGGUAAAAAAGAGAGACUUUAGUGAAGUGAGAAGUGUGUCUUUUUAGAACUUGAGAAAACUGGAGUUCUGGUCUUGGCCCCAAGAACAAGAUGAAUUUAGAUGAGAAACAAAGACUGACUAUUAUCUGCACAGAAGCCCAGAUUCAGAGGAAAUCAAUCUAUGGGCUAAAAUGAGUCAGUCAGAUUCUACCUAUCAAAUUGUUUAGUCUAUUAUUAGGACUUUGAAAGUAAAUGGCUUAUAUAUGAAUCCUUUGAGUAUAUUGUUAAAAAUUCAGAUUUGAGGGGGCCCAGCCCAUGUUGGGAGGCAUUUAAGAUGCAUGCCUGCCCCCCCCCCACUACCACUGUGAUCCAUGCCUUCUGCUAUUUGUGCCCUUAUUUAAUUCCUUUCCUUUUAAAUCUUGGCUAGACGUAUUGAUUCACUGAAAUGAUGGAUGUCACCUCCAAAAUGGGGUUACACAAAGACUGUGGCUUCCAUCUUGGGUGUUGUUUGUAAUCUCUCUCUCUUAGAGAGCCAGUUACCAUGCUGUGAAGACACUCAGGAGGCCUACAGAAAGGCCCAAACGGCAAAUAACCAAGGCCUGCCAGCAAUCCUGUGAAUGAGAUGUGAAGUAGAUGUUUUGAGGUAUCUUGAGGCUUACCAACAGCUACACCAAGGAGCAGGUUCUCCAGCCCUGGUAAAGCCAUAAAGUGAUUGAAUCACUGGCUAAAGGCUUGAUUGUAACUUCAUGAGAGAGUGUUAGCCAGAAACACCUAGCAAGCAUAAACAGUACCUAGACUCCAGACUGAUAAAAGCGUUCAGUAAUUAAUGCUUGUUAAGUCCCUUUGUUUCCUGGUAAUUCAUUUACAUAGCAAUGGAUAAUUUAUACUUCCCCCAAGAUAUUCUGAUAAGGGCAUUUUAAAAAAAACAAGCCAAGUGAUUUUGAUGUAGAUGGUUCAUAAUCCAUUCUUUAUUAAGCCCUGGUAUUUGAAGUUACAAAGAAAUUAAAGAAUUCACCAAAUCAUAUAUCUUUUGAUUUUAUCCUAAACAAUUGAUACUAUAUUUACAUAACCAUAAUUGUAUAUUUUUAGAAUACUUUUAUUUUUUGCAUAUUGUUUCAGUGUCAUUUUCUUCAAGUCCAAUGUGUCCUGAUAUUUUCCUGUCACUAAAUAGUUUUCUAUGCCCUAAUUUUUAAAAACAGCUUAAUAUUUCAUUUUAGAAUAGUCUACAAGUUAAUCAAUUCCCUAUUGUUGAGCACUUAAAUUGCUUGUAUUCUGCUGACAAAUAACUCAUUGAUAAAUAUAGAAAAGUUAAAUUUGACACACAUCCUUAUUUCCUUAGAACAAAUUCCUAGAAUUUGAACUACUGAGUCAAAAAAUAUUGUGAUUUUGCUCAUUCUUAAUUAUUAGAUUCUCUUUGGUAGGUAUCCAUAAUCAGAAACAAUUAGAGGAGGCAUAGGUGAGGGCUCUAUGCCUCAUUCCCAAUACUCUCAAAAUAAGAGAGUAAAUUAUGAUAAAAGAAGAUUCGAGGCUAAAUUCCUCACAUGUAACAACAGAGCAGACAUUAACAAAACAAAACAAAAUAAUAGUCAUUCAAACUGUAAGCUCAAUAAAGUCGCAACUCUGUUGUUAUAGGUUUUCCAGCAGUGCUUGGAAUGAAACAUUCACUACAGGCAAGAGUGUUGCAAGGACAAGAUUGAAUUAAAGUCUGAGUUGGAGUCAGGUAACAAAAUCCUCUGGAAAUUUCUCAGCACAGAACUGAUUGGAAUUAUAAGCAUGGAACAUCCUUUCUAAGAAUACUGGGCUAUUGGGCUGACCAGAUUCUCAUACUAUAGUCUGCAAGGGCAAACCUCAUUGUACCAUUUUCUAGCCAAACCCUUAUAUUAAACACCACUCAUUUCACUAGUGAAAUAAUCAUUUACCAGUAAUAAUAAUCAUUGCUACCUUCAGUUAUGCCAAUUAGCAAAGCUUCUCUCUUUAUAUUCUAUGCAGUCGAUCCUUGAUAGUAUUAAUAAAUAAAGUUAAUUCAAUCUCUGGGGAGUUUUUGAUAAGAGGUUUACAGAUGCUAACUGUAAUUCCUACCUCUGAUUCCUGGUUAGGAAACUGCAAAUGUUAACCAACAACAGCACUAGUUAAAACCAACACACUCAAAAUCACACACGCAACCAUCAGCCAUAUGUCACACUAGAUAACAGUUUUAAUUAAAUUAAAUGCAACGUGAAAAUUUAUACACAUGUUAAACAUGAUAGCUAUUCAUUUUGCCAAAGUUUGUGUCAAUUCACUCUUUCAUCACAGUUUUUUUUUUCAGUUCGUUGCAUACUUGCUAAAUGCGUAUUAUAAUUUUAUUUACAUCUUUUCUAAUUUGUG
Molecule: long non-coding RNA, 5212 nt
Organism: Microcebus murinus (gray mouse lemur)
Lineage: Eukaryota; Metazoa; Chordata; Mammalia; Primates; Cheirogaleidae
Source: Ensembl